RNAcentral lists this ribosomal RNA (253 nucleotides) under uncultured bacterium. Its description in RNAcentral is "partial 16S ribosomal RNA". It matches the Rfam family "Bacterial small subunit ribosomal RNA", at positions 524 to 776 of the family's 1533-position model. The record is from RNAcentral.
UACGUAGGGGGCGAGCGUUGUCCGGAUUUAUUGGGCGUAAAGAGCUCGUAGGCGGUCUGUCACGUCGGCUGUGAAAUCCCGAGGCUCAACCUCGGGUCUGCAGUCGAUACGGGCAAACUAGAGUACGGUAGGGGCAGAGGGAAUUUCCGGUGGAGCGGUGAAAUGCGUAGAGAUCGGAAAGAACACCAACGGCGAAAGCACUCUGCUGGGCCGACACUGACACUGAGAGACGAAAGCUAGGGGAGCGAAUGGG